CGCUGCACAGUGAUUCACUCUAAGGCCAUAAAUCGGAAAAUGUCAUCGGCUUAUCCCCAUUAGAUCUACUUACUAAGUGAUUAACAAGUUAAGAAGCUUCCGAAAACUCUAAAUACCCGUGUCAUAAGGUCAACUUAUUAUUCACUUUUGUGCAUCGGAAGUUAGCGCAUCUCGAGUCUAAUUAUCGCAACGUGUGAGUCAUCAAAACUUAACACUUUGUUUUUGAGUGUCACUAUUCCAAAUCAAGUGUUUACGUAUGGUGACAGUAUGGAGGUCCAAGACCAAGGUAAAGUUUUCAAAUGUUCUGUUUCGAGGACGACUAUUUUUGACAUUUGGCACUCUAAAGAGGGUAGUCCAAAUGAAAAAUGCAACAUGUCCUGAAUACUUUGACCGAAACAUCGUGCCUUUCGGAUGACAUCGAAAAUAUCAAACUAGAGACUUUAAAUAAUAAAAUUAUGAAUGUAUGUAAACGAAUUUCUCAUUAUUGAGCAAUAUCAAAUCGUAGUAGGUCUAAGUUUAUAGAGAAACUAGCUGUUGCCCGCAACUUCGCCUGCGUGGGCAAGUUUCAUACAAACUUUCAUCCCCUAUUUUAUCCCCUUGGGGGUAGAAUUGAUCAAAAUCCUUUCUUAGCGGAUGCCUACGUCAUAAUAUCUACCUGCAUGCCAAAUUUCAGCCCGAUCCGUCCAGUGGUUUCAGCUGUGCGUUGAUAGAUCACUAUGUCAGUCAGUCAGUCAGUCAGUCACCUUUGAGUUUUAUAUAUUUAGAUAUUCAGAUUGGCUGAAUGUAGUUGAAAAUAUUGAUGUAGAGCGAAUUGAGUUACAUGUAUCUCAGAAGUCUGACAAAGUUGAACCAUCAACUUCUUCAUUCAGAUCCCUUCCUAACAGGUUUACGAAAGUUCCCUGUCAAAACAAAAGGUGUACUAUCAAAAAUUGUACUAGAUUUGUUAUAUGUUUGUAGUAAAUACUUUUGAGCUUGAAUGUAUUCUGGUAUAUUUUGUGUUUUGUGUGUAUUUGCAAAAAAGGUUGUUCGUGUA
Helicoverpa armigera (cotton bollworm) is the source of this 1033-nucleotide long non-coding RNA. RefSeq lists it as uncharacterized. The record is from RefSeq and is a predicted model, not a curated record. The transcript has 2 exons. NCBI's taxonomy places the organism in Eukaryota, Metazoa, Arthropoda, Insecta, Lepidoptera, Noctuidae.